This is a long non-coding RNA of Drosophila pseudoobscura, 560 nucleotides long. RefSeq lists it as uncharacterized. The transcript is spliced from 3 exons. Lineage: Eukaryota; Metazoa; Arthropoda; Insecta; Diptera; Drosophilidae. The record is from RefSeq and is a predicted model, not a curated record.
CUUAUUUUUCCUUCAAAAAGUAUUUCGGAUUAUUUUCCUUGCUUGCCUUGACAACCCUGGUCACUCAAGUCAAAAGCAUUUCCAUUAUGAUAAUCUUCUCCCUCACUCGUUCAGUGCGCUUGGAAAAUUUUCAUAUCCCAGCCAUGGCACACGAGAAGCCAUGGAACAUGAAAAACUGCACAAAUGGCAGAAAAUGUUGCAAAACUACAUGACCUGUGGGGCGGCUGCUGUGUGCGGCGAAAACUGAAAGAAAGAAAAAAAAAAGGGAAAAGAGGAACAAGAGCAAAGAGGAACCAGAAUCCAAGGACCAGAGGACCAGGACAACGAAGCACAUGCACAUAAAAUACGAUAACUGUGGACCAAAGUGCUAUAUAUGAAAGGUUGUAUAACACUCGAUGGCUUUCAAUAUGUGUCAUUUGGGUGUGUUCUGUUCGUAUGAGCCACAGGCCACAGAGCCCAUGAAAGAGCAGGGAAUAUUCAAGAAUUCUCUCUCCAGUAACGGCAAAAUGCAAUUCUACAACUUAUCUUUAUCAGUCCAUAGGGAUUAUAGUAGAUACGAU